AUCGCAAAUUUAGCUGGUUAUUGCAUCAUUUACAUUUACCAAGCCUGGAUAUUUAUUUAAAGGGAAUCGGUAAUCUGUAGCAAAGUCAUUAAAGUGUUAAUUCAGCAACCGUUUGAGUACACUAGUCGCUAACAAACUAAACAGGAAGUUACGCCGUCCACUCUUAUCGACAAUCAUUAGUAAAGUCCCAUAUCAUACAACAUGUCCUGUUGGGUACCACAAAUUUCUGAGGGGAUGAACAUCUACCACAUCCAUCCGCCACCGUAUGGCAGCGGUAACCGGCGAAAGUCAUCCGUGUCGGACGACGAGCAUGGCCCUAGUAUCAUGCCCAGGCUUUUCCGCAAAAGUAUGGAUGCCGGAAACGUUGACAAUGAGAAAAGAAAGCGCUGGCCAUACCGCAUGUGGCAUCGUCGUGCGUCUUCAAUGUCGGAAGAUAAACAUGAUGGACAUGGAACUGCUGAACAGACCACAGAUUCUGAGAACAACGGGCCACAAGUAAAAUCCCAAAGGGACGUUGCCGAUUCUUCGCCGGCUUCCCAGCCUAGUGCCGGAAAAGAACAGCGCUCUCGAGCUCAUUCCGACCGUUAAAGUCGUAGUAUGGCACUUUUAAAAAAUUGUACAGAGUACACAAUUUAACUGUACGACAAUUUACCAAAGAAAUCUGAAAUUUUCUUUGACGAUGGACUAUUGCAGUCAUUUUUUUCCGGCAAUAUCGAUGGUUACUGUCCAAGGAUACACACCACCUGGUCAUCGAGAGUGCUGUACGCUGUAUGGGGCAAGUUAGAGUUUAAAAGUAUACUGGAGCAAGUGUAAAUUAUUUUCUACCAAUAUUCUGGAUUAUGGAUAUCGUCUUGUUGCAUCGGGAUUGCACUGUCUUUUACAGACAAAUGUCAAUAAUUAUUUAUUUUUCGCGCGGGAACAAUAAUUAUGUUGUUGCCCGGCUGGAGCUGCUUUUGCUUGUAUCAAUUAUGCAAAGAGUGUGUUGACCUGAAUAAAACGGAAAACUGUUG
Paramacrobiotus metropolitanus is the source of this 1010-nucleotide long non-coding RNA. RefSeq lists it as uncharacterized. The record is from RefSeq and is a predicted model, not a curated record. The transcript has 2 exons. NCBI's taxonomy places the organism in Eukaryota, Metazoa, Tardigrada, Eutardigrada, Parachela, Macrobiotidae.